RNAcentral lists this ribosomal RNA (242 nucleotides) under Cryptosporidium sp. RNAcentral describes it as "partial 18S ribosomal RNA". It matches the Rfam family "Eukaryotic small subunit ribosomal RNA", at positions 321 to 564 of the family's 1831-position model. The record is from RNAcentral. Lineage: Eukaryota; Apicomplexa; Conoidasida; Eucoccidiorida; Cryptosporidiidae.
UUAAACGGUAGGGUAUUGGCCUACCGUGGCAAUGACGGGUAACGGGGAAUUAGGGUUCGAUUCCGGAGAGGGAGCCUGAGAAACGGCUACCACAUCUAAGGAAGGCAGCAGGCGCGCAAAUUACCCAAUCCUAAUACAGGGAGGUAGUGACAAGAAAUAACAAUACAGGACUUUUUGGUUUUGUAAUUGGAAUGAGUUAAGUAUAAACCCCUUUACAAGUAUCAAUUGGAGGGCAAGUCUGA